This 254-nucleotide ribosomal RNA is filed under the name uncultured bacterium. RNAcentral's name for it is "partial 16S ribosomal RNA". It matches the Rfam family "Bacterial small subunit ribosomal RNA", at positions 524 to 776 of the family's 1533-position model. The record is from RNAcentral.
UACGUAGGGUGCGAGCGUUGUCCGGAAUUAUUGGGCGUAAAGAGCUCGUAGGCGGUCUGUCGCGUCGGUCGUGAAAACUUGGGGCUUCACCCUGAGCUUGCGGUCGAUACGGGCAUGACUGGAGUUCGGCAGGGGAGACUGGAAUUCCUGGUGUAGCGGUGAAAUGCGCAGAUAUCAGGAGGAACACCGGUGGCGAAGGCGGGUCUCUGGGCCGAUACUGACGCUGAGGAGCGAAAGCGUGGGGAGCGAACAGG